CGGACGGGUGAGUAAUGUCUGGGAAACUGCCUGAUGGAGGGGGAUAACUACUGGAAACGGUAGCUAAUACCGCAUAACGUCGCAAGACCAAAGAGGGGGACCUUCGGGCCUCUUGCCAUCGGAUGUGCCCAGAUGGGAUUAGCUAGUAGGUGGGGUAACGGCUCACCUAGGCGACGAUCCCUAGCUGGUCUGAGAGGAUGACCAGCCACGCUGGAGCUGAGACACGGUCCAG
RNAcentral lists this ribosomal RNA (232 nucleotides) under uncultured bacterium. RNAcentral describes it as "partial 16S ribosomal RNA". It matches the Rfam family "Bacterial small subunit ribosomal RNA", at positions 99 to 334 of the family's 1533-position model. The record is from RNAcentral.